Molecule: non-coding RNA, 110 nt
Organism: Ornithorhynchus anatinus (platypus)
Lineage: Eukaryota; Metazoa; Chordata; Mammalia; Monotremata; Ornithorhynchidae
Gene: MIR222A
Product: microRNA mir-222a
Exons: 1
Source: RefSeq, marked provisional
AGAGAGCCUGUAGUUGCCCCUCAAUCGCUCAGUAGUCAGUGUAGAUCCUGUAUUCUAAUCAGCAGCUACAUCUGGCUACUGGGUCUCUGAGGGUACCUUCUAGCUUCUCU